RNAcentral lists this ribosomal RNA (773 nucleotides) under uncultured Neocallimastigales. Its description in RNAcentral is "partial large subunit ribosomal RNA". It matches the Rfam family "Eukaryotic large subunit ribosomal RNA", at positions 23 to 643 of the family's 3401-position model. Lineage: Eukaryota; Fungi; Neocallimastigomycota; Neocallimastigomycetes; Neocallimastigales. The record is from RNAcentral.
AGAGAGAGACAUGCGCGCAUAUCAAUAAGCGGAGGAAAAGAAACUAACAAGGAUUCCCCUAGUAACGGCGAGUGAAGCGGGAAGAGCUCAAAUUUGAAAUCUUAAAGGGUUUCCUUUUACGAAUUGUAGUUUAAAGAAGUGUUUUCUGUUGAGGUUUUGGUAAAAGUUCUUUGGAAUAGGACAUCAUAGAGGGUGAGAAUCCCGUAUUUGACCUUUACUUUCAACUUUGUGAUACACUUUCAAAGAGUCGGAUUGUUUGGGAAUGCAGUCCAAAAUGGGUGGUAAAUUUCAUCUAAAGCUAAAUAUUGGCGAGAGACCGAUAGCGAACAAGUACCGUGAGGGAAAGAUGAAAAGAACUUUGAAAAGAGAGUUAAACAGUACGUGAAAUUGUCAAAAGGGAAGCGUUUGACACCAGUGUUGUUUUUCUGAAAAUCAAUUAAAGAACUGUUUAUGCUAAGUUGUUUAGACUUUAUCAGCUAACUGUUUAGUUUUGAGCUUUUCUUUAAUGCACUUUUCAGUUAACAAGUCAACAUCAAUUUCUUUUGCUGUAAAAAAGCUUGAGGAAGGUGGCUUGAGAUUCGUCUUAAGUGUUUAUAGCCUCUUGCCUAUGCAGUCGGAGAGAUUGAGGUCUGCAGCGUAGAUCCUUCGGGGCUAAAUGCAUUUGUGCUAAGUUAUAGCAUUUUAUAGACAACUUGUUGACUAUGAUUUGCCUUGUAGCUUACUCGCUUAUGUUAUUUUACCUACGCUUAGGAUGUUGACGCAUGAGAUAUCGC